UACGGAGGGUGCAAACGUUGCUCGGAAUCAUUGGGCGUAAAGCGCACGUAGGCGGUCUUAUAAGUCGGGAGUGAAAGCCCUGGGCUCAACCCAGGAAGUGCUCUCGAAACUGCAAGGCUUGAGUAUGGAAGAGGGUCGCGGAAUUCCCGGUGUAGAGGUGAAAUUCGUAGAUAUCGGGAGGAACACCAGUGGCGAAGGCGGCGACCUGGGCCAAUACUGACGCUGAGGUGCGAAAGCGUGGGGAGCAAACAGG
RNAcentral lists this ribosomal RNA (253 nucleotides) under uncultured bacterium. RNAcentral's name for it is "partial 16S ribosomal RNA". It matches the Rfam family "Bacterial small subunit ribosomal RNA", at positions 524 to 776 of the family's 1533-position model. The record is from RNAcentral.